GUGGAUCAUGGAUAAGUACUGACAUAAUAUUGUAGAAAUUUGCAUACAUCAUAUUUUACCAUGCAUGAAAAAAAUGCUAUAUUUUGCACCAACUUUAUUUUCAGUAGUGAAGUAUGGUAGAAUAUUUGUUUGUCGUGUUCUGUAAACAACAAUUCUAUUUUCAGGCCAAAGAGGGAGGAGGAGAUGAAGGACAAGGAGAUAG
This 202-nucleotide long non-coding RNA is filed under the name Elaeis guineensis (African oil palm). RNAcentral describes it as "long non-coding RNA (EGUI_LNC023031)". Lineage: Eukaryota; Viridiplantae; Streptophyta; Magnoliopsida; Arecales; Arecaceae. The record is from RNAcentral.